UCUUUAUAAUUGAAGACUUACCGUUGCUGGGAAAAUAUCCUGACUUCUUGAUUUCUUUUCUAGGUCCUUUCACCCGACUCCCAAAAAUCUGUCCUCAGAUGGUGGCUUGUAACAGGUGAAGAAAUGGCUCUUUGUCCUGGGAUGAAAAGCUUCUCAAGGGAAUUAUUCUCCAUUCCAAGCUGUUGGCUGAAACGAGGCUGGUUUUGGAAGGGGUGUCUUUGGAAAAUCUCUCAAACUUGACUCAAAAACCUCCCUGUAAUACUGAUCAUGGAACCUGGUGGACGCAUCCGUUCAAGAGCUACCAUGCUACCCAUUCUUCUCAAACUGAUGUUUUAGAAGCACUUCAAAUCCUUAA
This 355-nucleotide long non-coding RNA is filed under the name Pan troglodytes (chimpanzee). RNAcentral's name for it is "long non-coding RNA NONPTRT009458". The record is from RNAcentral. Lineage: Eukaryota; Metazoa; Chordata; Mammalia; Primates; Hominidae.